CAGCCGCCGCGGGAAUACGGAGGGUGCAAGCGUUAAUCGGAAUUACUGGGCGUAAAGCGCACGCAGGCGGUCUGACAAGUCAGAUGUGAAAUCCCCGGGCUUAACCUGGGAACUGCAUUUGAAACUGUCAGGCUGGAGUCUUGUAGAGGGGGGUGGAAUUCCAGGUGUAGCGGUGAAAUGCGUAGAGAUCUGGAGGAAUACCGGUGGCGAAGGCGGCCCCCUGGACAAAGACUAACGCUCAGGUGCGAAAGCGUGGGGAGCAAACAGGAUUAGAUACCCUAGUAGUCCCUGUCUCUUAUAC
Molecule: ribosomal RNA, 301 nt
Filed under: uncultured bacterium
Lineage: Bacteria
Description: partial 16S ribosomal RNA
Rfam family: Bacterial small subunit ribosomal RNA
Source: RNAcentral